This is a long non-coding RNA of Andrographis paniculata, 423 nucleotides long. RefSeq lists it as uncharacterized. NCBI's taxonomy places the organism in Eukaryota, Viridiplantae, Streptophyta, Magnoliopsida, Lamiales, Acanthaceae. The record is from RefSeq and is a predicted model, not a curated record. The transcript has 2 exons.
ACUAGAUUUAUAUCGUUUCUUUUUCUUCCAAGUCUCGCGACACAGACGCAACUGGUCACUGACGCCGACGCCGACGCGGGCUCUCACGCUCUCGCCUCCUCAAGACCAGAGUUUUCGAACACCCGUUUUGCUACCGCCGACGCCUAACCAGUCGCCGAUUCGGACACGCUUCAACAAAACUAGGCGUAUGGAAAAUCUCAUCUUCUGGCGUGGCGGCAUUAGUAGCACGCGGAGGAUUGGACAGCUUCGCCAUGGCUGAAUGCAAAGUUGUCCAGAACCAAGCCUCGGUUUUGCUUCUUGACGAGGGACUAUUUAUUAAACCAGAUUCUUGGACCGGGACUUAUUCUGAAUCCACUUAAGCUUGUUCUAUAUAUUGACUUAUCUUUGGCAAGUGGCUUAGGAUCGAAAGUGUGUUGUUGAUUA